RNAcentral lists this ribosomal RNA (510 nucleotides) under Triticum aestivum (bread wheat). Its description in RNAcentral is "partial small subunit ribosomal RNA". The record is from RNAcentral. Lineage: Eukaryota; Viridiplantae; Streptophyta; Magnoliopsida; Poales; Poaceae.
AUGUACAUUAACAAGGGGGGGAGGAGAAAGGAAGAGGGAGGUGCGGUGGUGGUUGGUUCACCGGUCCGGUGGCACUGGAUUGGCACCAGCACAGAGCUCCUGCUUACGGAAACGACGAUCCGUUCUUGGGGAUGCGAAGAUCCAGGGAGGCACUCUCCCGUUCAGUUCUCCUUGCUAUCGGUUCAGGGCCAUGCCACAGCAGGCUGGCUUUCACGGGAUUGGCAUUGGUGGCGCAGUCAAUACUACCUACAGAAGUGCCACCAACUUGCACCAAGCUAUUGCGUCAAGGGGGGAGGAGAAAGGAAGAGGGAGGUGCGGUGGUGGUUGGUUCACCGGUCCGGUGGCACUGGAUUGGCACCAGCACAGAGCUCCUGCUUACGGAAACGAAGAUCCGUUCUUGGGGAUGCGAAGAUCCUGGGAGGCACUCUCCCGUUCAGUUCUCCUUACUAUCGGUUCAGGGCCAUGCCACCGCAGGUGAAAGUUAAUCCCCUUCUGGGCUGGCAGACGUGA